This 1272-nucleotide ribosomal RNA is filed under the name Mycobacterium sp. C10. Its description in RNAcentral is "bacterial SSU rRNA". It matches the Rfam family "Bacterial small subunit ribosomal RNA", at positions 129 to 1413 of the family's 1533-position model. Lineage: Bacteria; Bacillati; Actinomycetota; Actinomycetes; Mycobacteriales; Mycobacteriaceae. The record is from RNAcentral.
CCCUGCACUUUGGGAUAAGCCUGGGAAACUGGGUCUAAUACCGAAUAUGACCGCGCUCUUCAUGGGGUGUGGUGGAAAGCUUUUGCGGUGUGGGAUGGGCCCGCGGCCUAUCAGCUUGUUGGUGGGGUAAUGGCCUACCAAGGCGACGACGGGUAGCCGGCCUGAGAGGGUGACCGGCCACACUGGGACUGAGAUACGGCCCAGACUCCUACGGGAGGCAGCAGUGGGGAAUAUUGCACAAUGGGCGCAAGCCUGAUGCAGCGACGCCGCGUGAGGGAUGACGGCCUUCGGGUUGUAAACCUCUUUCAAUAGGGACGAAGCGCAAGUGACGGUACCUAUAGAAGAAGGACCGGCCAACUACGUGCCAGCAGCCGCGGUAAUACGUAGGGUCCGAGCGUUGUCCGGAAUUACUGGGCGUAAAGAGCUCGUAGGUGGUUUGUCGCGUUGUUCGUGAAAACUCACAGCUUAACUGUGGGCGUGCGGGCGAUACGGGCAGACUAGAGUACUGCAGGGGAGACUGGAAUUCCUGGUGUAGCGGUGGAAUGCGCAGAUAUCAGGAGGAACACCGGUGGCGAAGGCGGGUCUCUGGGCAGUAACUGACGCUGAGGAGCGAAAGCGUGGGGAGCGAACAGGAUUAGAUACCCUGGUAGUCCACGCCGUAAACGGUGGGUACUAGGUGUGGGUUUCCUUCCUUGGGAUCCGUGCCGUAGCUAACGCAUUAAGUACCCCGCCUGGGGAGUACGGCCGCAAGGCUAAAACUCAAAGGAAUUGACGGGGGCCCGCACAAGCGGCGGAGCAUGUGGAUUAAUUCGAUGCAACGCGAAGAACCUUACCUGGGUUUGACAUGCACAGGACGCCAGUAGAGAUAUUGGUUCCCUUGUGGCCUGUGUGCAGGUGGUGCAUGGCUGUCGUCAGCUCGUGUCGUGAGAUGUUGGGUUAAGUCCCGCAACGAGCGCAACCCUUGUCUCAUGUUGCCAGCACGUAAUGGUGGGGACUCGUGAGAGACUGCCGGGGUCAACUCGGAGGAAGGUGGGGAUGACGUCAAGUCAUCAUGCCCCUUAUGUCCAGGGCUUCACACAUGCUACAAUGGCCGGUACAAAGGGCUGCGAUGCCGUGAGGUGGAGCGAAUCCUUUCAAAGCCGGUCUCAGUUCGGAUCGGGGUCUGCAACUCGACCCCGUGAAGUCGGAGUCGCUAGUAAUCGCAGAUCAGCAACGCUGCGGUGAAUACGUUCCCGGGCCUUGUACACACCGCCCGUCACGUCAUGAAAGUCG